UGGGGAAUUUUGGACAAUUGGGCGAAAGCCUGAUCCAGCAAUGCCGCGUGUGUGAAGAAGGCCUUCGGGUUGUAAAGCACUUUUGUCCGGAAAGAAAUCCUUGGCUCUAAUACAGUCGGGGGAUGACGGUACCGGAAGAAUAAGCACCGGCUAACUACGUGCCAGCAGCCGCGGUAAUACGUAGGGUGCAAGCGUUAAUCGGAAUUACUGGGCGUAAAGCGUGCGCAGGCGGUUUGCUAAGACCGAUGUGAAAUCCCCGGGCUCAACCUGGGAACUGCAUUGGUGACUGGCAGGCUAGAGUAUGGCAGAGGGGGGUAGAAUUCCACGUGUAGCAGUGAAAUGCGUAGAGAUGUGGAGGAAUACCGAUGGCGAAGGCAGCCCCCUGGGCCAAUACUGACGCUCAUGCACGAAAGCGUGGGGAGCAAACAGGAUUAGAUACCCUGGUAGUCCACGCCCUAAACGAUGUCAACUAGUUGUUGGGGAUUCAUUUCCUUAGUAACGUAGCUAACGCGUGAAGUUGACCGCCUGGGGAGUACGGUCGCAAGAUUAAAACUUAAAUGAAUUGACGGGGUCAU
Molecule: ribosomal RNA, 575 nt
Filed under: uncultured bacterium
Lineage: Bacteria
Description: partial 16S ribosomal RNA
Rfam family: Bacterial small subunit ribosomal RNA
Source: RNAcentral